Molecule: ribosomal RNA, 301 nt
Filed under: uncultured bacterium
Lineage: Bacteria
Description: partial 16S ribosomal RNA
Rfam family: Bacterial small subunit ribosomal RNA
Source: RNAcentral
CAGUAGCCGCGGUAAUACGUAUGUCACAAGCGUUAUCCGGAUUUAUUGGGCGUAAAGCGCGUCUAGGCGGUUAAUUAAGUCUGAUGUGAAAAUGCGGAGCUCAACUCCGUAUUGCGUUGGAAACUGGUUAACUAGAGUACUGGAGAGGUAAGCGGAACUACAAGUGUAGAGGUGAAAUUCGUAGAUAUUUGUAGGAAUGCCGAUGGGGAAGCCAGCUUACUGGACAGAUACUGACGCUAAAGCGCGAAAGCGUGGGUAGCAAACAGGAUUAGAUACCCCAGUAGUCCCUGUCUCUUAUACA